UAAAAAGUAAAAGCAAAUACGUCAACUACUAAUUAGUCUAAACUAUUACAUGUGAAUCUAUAUUCACAUCAAAUCUUCUCUACUUUGACUUUGAUGGUUGGAGAAAAUUUCUUUCUCUUAUUUUUGCUUCCAGCGAUAAAUUUUUUCAAUGUGCAAUCAUCAUCAUCUUCAUCGUCAUCGCUUGUUAUGUCAAUAUAAUCAUCAAGAACUUUUUUGUGAUUUUUCGUUUCCCCCCUUCCUUGCA
This 244-nucleotide long non-coding RNA is filed under the name Salvia miltiorrhiza (redroot sage). Its description in RNAcentral is "long non-coding RNA (SMIL_LNC004120)". The record is from RNAcentral. Lineage: Eukaryota; Viridiplantae; Streptophyta; Magnoliopsida; Lamiales; Lamiaceae.